Molecule: ribosomal RNA, 630 nt
Filed under: Rhinolophus pusillus blythi
Lineage: Eukaryota; Metazoa; Chordata; Mammalia; Chiroptera; Rhinolophidae
Description: Rhinolophus blythi partial 16S ribosomal RNA
Rfam family: Bacterial large subunit ribosomal RNA
Source: RNAcentral
AAAGGUAGCAUAAUCACUGUUCCCUAAAAGGGAUUGUAGGAAUGGCCACACGAGGUUUUCACUGUCUCUUACUUCCAAUCAGUGAAAUUGACCUUCCCGUGAGGAGGCGGGAAUGAUUUAACAAGACGAGAAGACCCUAUGGAGCUUUAAUUAACUGACCCAAUAAAGACAUAUUGCUACCCACCCAGGGUCCAACUCCCCUUUAUAUGGGCCAACAAUUUAGGUUGGGGUGACCUCGGAGCACAAAAUAACCUCCGAGUGAUUAAAGUCUAGACUAACCAGUCAAAACAUAACAUCACUUAUUGAUCCAAAAAUUUGAUCAACGGAACAAGUUACCCUAGGGAUAACAGCGCAAUCCUAUUUAAGAGUUCAUAUCGACAAUUAGGGUUUACGACCUCGAUGUUGGAUCAGGACAUCCCAAUGGUGCAACAGCUAUUAACGGUUCGUUUGUUCAACGAUUAAAGUCCUACGUGAUCUGAGUUCAGACCGGAGUAAUCCAGGUCGGUUUCUAUCUGUUCUAGGCUCCUCCCAGUACGAAAGGACAAGAGAAGCAAGGCCUACUCCACCGAAGCGCCUUCAAGUUAAUAGAUGAUUUAAUCUUAAUCUGGUAGCUACCUUGACACUCCUGAG